UACGUAGGGUGCAGGCGUUAAUCGGAAUUACUGGGCGUAAAGCGUGCGCAGGCGGUUUUGUAAGCCAGAUGUGAAAUCCCCGGGCUUAACCUGGGAAUGGCAUUUGGGACUGCAAGGCUGGAGUGCGGCAGAGGAGACUGGAAUUCCCGGUGUAGCAGUGAAAUGCGUAGAUAUGCGGAGGAACACCGAUGGCGAAGGCGAUCCCCUGGGCCUGCACUGACGCUCAUGCACGAAAGCGUGGGGAGCAAACAGG
Molecule: ribosomal RNA, 253 nt
Filed under: uncultured bacterium
Lineage: Bacteria
Description: partial 16S ribosomal RNA
Rfam family: Bacterial small subunit ribosomal RNA
Source: RNAcentral